This is a long non-coding RNA of Cydia splendana, 487 nucleotides long. RefSeq lists it as uncharacterized. The transcript is spliced from 2 exons. NCBI's taxonomy places the organism in Eukaryota, Metazoa, Arthropoda, Insecta, Lepidoptera, Tortricidae. The record is from RefSeq and is a predicted model, not a curated record.
GGUUCCGUAGCCAAAUGGCAAAAAACGGAACCCUUAUGGAUUCGUCAUGUCUGUCUGUCUGUCUGUCCGUCCGUAUGUCACAGCCACUUUUUUCCGAAACUAUACGAACUAUAUUGUUGAAACUUAUUGGUAAGUAGAUGUAUUCUGUGAACCGCAUUAAGAUUUUCACACAAAAAUAGAAAAAAAAAAACAAUAAAUUUUGGGGGUUCCCCAUACUUAGAACUGAAACUUAAAAAUUUUUUUUUCAUCAAACCCAUACGUGUGGGGUUUCUAAUAUCAUUUUUUUCUAAACUGAAUAGUUUGCGCGAGAGACACUUCCAAAGUGGUAAAAUGUGUGUCGUCGUCCCCCCCCCCCUGUAACUUCUAAAAUAAGAGAAUGAUAAAACUAAAAAAAAUAUAUGAUGUACAUUACCAUGCAAACUUCCACCGAAAAUUGGUUUGAACGAGAUCUGAUCUAGUAAGUAGUUUUUUUUUAAUACGUCAUAAA